CCUGUUCGAGCGUCAUUAUGACCACUCAAGCCUAGCUUGGUAUUGGGGUUCGCGGUUUCGCGGCCCUUAAAAUCAGUGGCGGUGCCAUCUGGCUCUAAGCGUAGUAAUUUAUCUCGCUAUUGGGUCCGGUAGUUGCUUGCCAAUAACCUCCAACUUUUAAGGUUGACCUCGGAUCAGGUAGGGAUACCCGCUGAACUUAA
RNAcentral lists this unclassified non-coding RNA (200 nucleotides) under soil metagenome. Its description in RNAcentral is "partial contains internal transcribed spacer 2 and large subunit ribosomal RNA". The record is from RNAcentral.